AUCCCAUGAUUUGGACACUUUCUCAUAAGCUCCUUAAAUUUGUUCUAUGCCUCAUGAUAGCUUUCCUCAUCCAUUUGUUCGAAGGUUUGAAUUUUCAAUUUGAUUUU
This 107-nucleotide small nucleolar RNA is filed under the name Olea europaea subsp. europaea. RNAcentral's name for it is "Plant small nucleolar RNA R71". It matches the Rfam family "Plant small nucleolar RNA R71". From Rfam's summary of the family: R71 is a member of the C/D box family of snoRNAs containing the C (UGAUGA) and D (CUGA) box motifs. Multiple nearly identical copies of this snoRNA have been identified in Arabidopsis, and it is thought to function as a 2'-O-ribose methylation guide for 18S ribosomal RNA. Lineage: Eukaryota; Viridiplantae; Streptophyta; Magnoliopsida; Lamiales; Oleaceae. The record is from Rfam by way of RNAcentral.